ACCUCACUGAUGAAGGUGGCGUGCUCCUU
This 29-nucleotide non-coding RNA is filed under the name Homo sapiens (human). The record is from RNAcentral. Lineage: Eukaryota; Metazoa; Chordata; Mammalia; Primates; Hominidae.